UCAUAAUCUGGAAAUGUUUAAAGUAAUAUAAGGCAUGCUGUAAAAUGUGGAAUGGACUUUAAUAUCAGUUUUCAUGAUUUGGUGCUUAAACUGUUUCUUUUAGUCAGAUUAACCAUAAACAGAGUUGGCAAUCCAAUAAUUCCUCCUGAAUCACCAUGUUUGACUUCUGUGUUGAUUUGAAACAUCAUAUAUUUGGGUUUUGUUCACUCCUUAAGUAAAAAUGGUAAGAUGAAAAAAAAGUGAAAAUCUGCCAGAUGGGGUAGGGAUGUAAUGUUUCAUUUUUUUUUGGUAAGAAAUGAGUGCAGACUAGUAUUCUUUAUUGUAAUAUGUUCCAAAGUAAGAAGUCUAUGCAUCAUAGGUGUCAUGACUGGUUUCAAGUUUGUUAUGUCUUGGUUAAGGUGGCACGGUAGUAUUUGCAUUCCAGAAUUUAGGUUGCUCUUUUGUGUACCCUACUUAGGU
RNAcentral lists this long non-coding RNA (459 nucleotides) under Mytilus galloprovincialis (Mediterranean mussel). Lineage: Eukaryota; Metazoa; Mollusca; Bivalvia; Mytilida; Mytilidae. The record is from RNAcentral.